UACGUAGGGGGCAAGCGUUGUCCGGAAUCAUUGGGCGUAAAGCGCGUGUAGGCGGCCCAGUAAGUCCGCUCUGAAAGUCCAAGGCUCAACCUUGGGAUGCGGGUGGAUACUGCUGGGCUCGAGUCCGGAAGAGGCGAGUGGAAUUCCUGGUGUAGCGGUGAAAUGCGCAGAUAUCAGGAGGAACACCAAUGGCGAAGGCAGCUCGCUGGGACGUGACUGACGCUGAGACGCGAAAGCGUGGGGAGCAAACAGG
This 253-nucleotide ribosomal RNA is filed under the name uncultured bacterium. Its description in RNAcentral is "partial 16S ribosomal RNA". It matches the Rfam family "Bacterial small subunit ribosomal RNA", at positions 524 to 776 of the family's 1533-position model. The record is from RNAcentral.